Molecule: non-coding RNA, 361 nt
Organism: Nicotiana tabacum (common tobacco)
Lineage: Eukaryota; Viridiplantae; Streptophyta; Magnoliopsida; Solanales; Solanaceae
Source: RefSeq, a predicted model, not a curated record
UAUGCAAAUGGAGAGUAUAUAGUCAGUAAUCUUAGGUCCCCCCACCAAAUUCUAGUGGCUGCCAAUUUUGAUGAUAUCAUUUCUUUCAACUUCCAUGACGUGUUCCUACUCUAUUCCUUCUACUAUUUUAUUACUUACUAGUACUACAUUUCUUCUUCAUAAGACAUUUCUCCUCAUCUUCCUUUCAUACGAGAAAAAUAUACUGUUUUCCUCCUCAGCACAAAGAAUUCCAUUUUCUGUAAGUUCAGAUCAAUCAUGGGUGGUGACAAAACUGAAAAGACCACUAUAAUGGUGCUCAAGGUUGAUCUUCAGUGCUCCUGCUGCUAUAAGAAGGUCAAAAAAGUUCUCUGUAAAUUCCCUC